AGAAAAAGGUUUUCUAGUUUCUUCUACAUUAAAAAUAAUCCCUCCUUCUCAUAAAGCACAAUUUUACAGAGGAAAAGGGAGAUGUGAAACUAUACACAAUUCAAAUCUAAUUAAUAUAUAAUUUUUUUGUGGAAUACAGAUGGAGGGAAUACAUCACAAUACUAAAGGUGAUUAUCUUUGGAUGGUGGGAUUACAGGUGAUUAUAUAUUUUUUAUAUUUCUAUAGUUUAAAAAUAUUCCAUGAUGACCUAUAAUUACUUUUACUUAUUUUUUGAGACAAAAUCUCACCCUGUUGACCAAGGCUGGAGCGCAGUGGUGCAAUCUCGGCUUAGUGCAAUCUCGGUGUAGUCUCGACCUCACAGGCUCAAGUGAUCCUCCCACCUCAGCCUCCGGAGAAGCUGGGACUACAGCUCUUUGCCCAGCUUCCAGUGACUCCUCUGUGCCUGGAGAGAAGGGCAAGCGCCUUACUCAUGCCUUGAGGUUGCUGACCACUUCCGUCACCAGCCUCGCUCCUUCCAGACCUGCCCUGGGAGUCCCUGCCUCCUGGCCUUCACCUGCAUCACGGUCUGCACUUCUCAGAGCCCUGCCCUUCCUUGAAGAACAAAGCCUGGCCAAAUUGUGUCAGCCUUCUGGCCUGCAGUGACCCCUGCUUACAUCGUACAUAACAAUAGCUAUAACUUAUUGACAUUAACUUCAGGUCACAUAGCAAAAGUGCUCUCAUUUAAAUCUUAGGCCACCAGAGGAUCCAUAGACUAAAAUGUUAACAGCAUCUCCUGGAGUUGUGGAGUGUGGUGACCCUAUGUGAUCCUCCUGUGCCACUGAGAGAUAUAUUAUUAACCCAGUUUCACUGAUAAGAUAACUGAGGCUCAGAGAGGUCAAGUAACUUGCCCAUGGUCACACAGUGGGUCCAUGGCAGAGCUGGGAGGUGAUCCCUAGUCAGUUCCCUCCAAGUCCAGGAUUUUCUCACUCCCACAAUGGUGUCUCCCUUAAUGACUCUCACAUUCCAGCCUCUGAGGGCAGGAAGGGUAUGUUCUGAGUUGAACACACAGAGAGCACUCAAUGAUGUCUGGUGGUGAAGAUGUUAAUCAUGAGCUCAAUCAAGGUUUAUCAUUAAAUCAACAAGUCUUCCUAGUGUGUCUGGGAGCUCUGGGGCCCAGGGACAGGCCUACUGUAGUUCAGUGUUGUAUUCUGGCACCUGGUGGUUUCUGGCACAUAGCCCAUGUUCAUUAAAUGACAUGAAUUGAUUGUCCAUUCAAAUAAUAAAACAAUAAAUAAAUAAUACUAGCUAACAGGUAUGGAGUGCCUACAAGCCAGCCACCUCAGGGAGUUUCCAGGACAGUUGAGGAGAAACAUAACACUGUUGACAAGAGCUACAACGUAGGGUUUUACACCAAAACAGUGUCUACGUAAACAGUGUCUAUCAAAGAGAGAAAAAUGAUGGGCAGACACCCUGAUCCUUCCCACAGUGCUAAAGGCCAUGCCAGCCACUGUCCCCAUUACGACUUGCAUAUACUGACUGCCGAAGCACACAAACCUGAAUUUUCCGUCUGCAUCCAUCGUUCUGUCUGUUCGGAUCACAUCUGGAUACUACUGUUGCCUCUCCAGACUGGAUAACCAGUCUGCUGAGGGCCAGAAGAUGGUGAGAUGGAAACUAGUCAUGUUUACUUGGAGAAGAGAAAUGAAGACCGUCUUUAACACCUGACAGGUUGCUCUUCCCAAGAGGGGCCAGAGGGCAACAGCCAUGGUCAACAGCUCCAGGCACCCCUGAGGAAGCCUGCUCCAGCUGGCAGGGCUGUCUGGCAAGGGACCAGUCCCUCCUCUGGAGAAGUGGUGAGCCCAGUGGGCUGCCUCUCCAGCAGGAUCCUGUAGAGACCUUACUCUCUACAAUGCACACUCCACACACUUGCUCACUUGACAAACACUUAUUAUAACUGUCACCCUGGGCCCAUUCCAGGUUAGGGACAUAAGGAUGAAUAAAACAAGGUCUGUACCAGUAGAGAACAUCAGUCCUCUAGGGGAGAAAGUCAGGAAAGCCUCAUCCUGAGCCUUCGACUCCUUACUGUCCAUCCUCUAGGCUCCUGUCUCAGCUUCUGCUGAAGGCUAUUUUCUUCCUUGUAUUCUGCAGUGACCAGGCAUAUGGCAGAUAAUCAACAAAUACAGGCAUCCCUGAAGAGGGUAUCCUGGGAUAAAAGCCCCAGCUGGAUCAGUGCUAUACAGGGGCCAACUGGGGGUGGGUUCCAGGCAGGGUCAUUUGCAAGGGUCCCUCUGCCCCUUCAAGUCCUGCCAGACAGGCCUUGGCCAUGGUUUCUUCCUGCCCCUGUCCCCUGACCACAGUUGAUCUCCCCUGGCUGUUAUGAAAUGUCAAAGAAUGUCCUGCAAUCCUAAAUUCCAUAAUGAUCUUUAUCUUCUGUUCCCUCUGAGGCUCCUCAAUCUGCAGUAACAGCUGUGGUUCAGCAAGCAGUGCGGCACUCUGGAGUGCUGUUCUGAAACAGGGCCGGCGUGGGGCAGAGCUCAUCUGCUGCCCUAUCCAUUCACUGUGCUGUUCGGGGCUAGAGAAGAUUCAUGUGUGUAUAUGCUUUUUAAAAAUUGUGAAACAAUAAUUAUGCAGAAAAAUACAUAGAAUAUAUGUUCAGUUUAACAAAUAAUCAUAAAGCAAAUCUCUAUAAAACCACUGCUGCUCUGCAGUGACCCCUGCUUCCCCCUAAGUCGUGCAUAACAAUAGCUACAAUUUACUGACCAUGAACUUCAGGUCACACAGCAAAGGUGUUCUCAUUUAAUCUUUGGCCACCAGAGGCUGCAUAGACUAAAAUGUGAACAGUGUCCCCUGCAGUUGUGGAGUGUGGUGACCCUAUUGGAUCUUCUCAUGCCACUGAGGGAUAUACUGUUUUCUGUAGAGAAGUCCAGCAGAGUCACUGUCCUGGGGGGCAUCCUUCUUGAUCGCCCCCAUGCCAUGAAGGCCCAUUCCUUGCCCAGGGCUCUAGAGUCUGAGCUUCUCCAAGAGGGAAUGGAGUCUUUCGCAGAGGGGCUGUGGAGCCUCGUAAGGCUGAAUCUAACCACGAGCAGGGAUUUUGGGCAGCUGCAUAUCCCAGAUGGUUUCCCAGUGGAUCAGCUUCCUGUUGCUGCUCUAAUAAACUAACAUAAACUUAGGGGCUUAAAACAACACAAAUUUCUUUUCUUAUAGUUCCGUAGGUCAGAAGUCCAAAACAGGUCUCACUGGGCUAAACUGAAGGUGUCAGCAGGGCUGCAUUCCUUCCUGGGGGCUCUAGUAGAGAAUCUCUUUCCUUUCUUCCCCUUUCCAGCUUUUAGAGGCUGCCUGCAUUCCUUGGCCUGCGGCCCCUUCCUCCACCUUCAAAGCCAGCACUGGCUGGCCAGGUCUUUCAUAUAUUGCAAUCUCUCUGCUUCUGCUUCUGCUUCUGACCCUUCUGCCUCUCUCUUCUCCAUUUAAGAAUGCUUGUGAUUACAUUGGGCUCACCCACCCCAGUUUCUACCCAAUAAUCCAGGGUAAUCUCCCAAACUUAAAGAGAGAAAACAAUACUAGCACCCCCAAAGCACCUACGUGUUCCCCUACUAAUCACAACCCCAACCCUCCCUUCUGCAUAAGUAGACAUUUGUAAUAAUUCUGUGCUUUUUGUAGUUUGACCUCCUCUGCAUGUAUCCUUAACAAUACAGUUUUGCCAGCUGUUAAAUUUUUGCUAAAAGGAAUUAUACUGUAUGCAUUCUUUUGUAGGUUUUAUUCAUUGAUGAGUCAUUUGUUAUUACAGUAUUAUUAUCCAAUAUGACAAUAUUACAGUUAUUGCA
This 3797-nucleotide long non-coding RNA is filed under the name Homo sapiens (human). Its description in RNAcentral is "HSALNT0329558". Lineage: Eukaryota; Metazoa; Chordata; Mammalia; Primates; Hominidae. The record is from RNAcentral.